CCUACGGGUGGCAGCAGUGGGGAAUAUUGGACAAUGGGCGAAAGCCUGAUCCAGCCAUGCCGCGUGUGUGAAGAAGGCCUUCGGGUUGUAAAGCACUUUCAGUGGGGAAGAAAGCCUUGGGGCUAAUACCCUCGAGGAAGGACAUCACCCACAGAAGAAGCACCGGCUAACUCCGUGCCAGCAGCCGCGGUAAUACGGAGGGUGCGAGCGUUAAUCGGAAUUACUGGGCGUAAAGCGCGCGUAGGCGGUCUGAUAAGCCGGUUGUGAAAGCCCCGGGCUCAACCUGGGAACGGCAUCCGGAACUGUCAGGCUAGAGUGCAGGAGAGGAAGGUAGAAUUCCCGGUGUAGCGGUGAAAUGCGUAGAGAUCGGGAAGAAUACCAGUGGCGAAGGCGGCCUUCUGGACUGACACUGACGCUGAGGUGCGAAAGCGUGGGUAGCAAACAGGAUUAGAUACCCGAGUAGUC
Molecule: ribosomal RNA, 465 nt
Filed under: Vreelandella stevensii
Lineage: Bacteria; Pseudomonadati; Pseudomonadota; Gammaproteobacteria; Oceanospirillales; Halomonadaceae
Description: partial 16S ribosomal RNA
Rfam family: Bacterial small subunit ribosomal RNA
Source: RNAcentral